This 404-nucleotide ribosomal RNA is filed under the name uncultured soil bacterium. RNAcentral describes it as "bacterial SSU rRNA". It matches the Rfam family "Bacterial small subunit ribosomal RNA", at positions 26 to 401 of the family's 1533-position model. The record is from RNAcentral.
AGAACGAACGUUAGCGGCGCGCCUAACACAUGCAAGUCGAGCGAGAAGGGAGCAAUCCCUGUAAAGCGGCGUACGGGUGAGUAACACGUAGGUAAUCUACCUCGAGGUGGCGGAUAACCUUCCGAAAGGAGGGCUAAUACAGCAUGAGACCACGUCUUCGAAAGAGGAUGAGGUCAAAGCGGGCCUCUAUAUAUAAGCUCGCGCCAUGAGAUGAGCCUGCGGCCCAUCAGGUAGUUGGUAGGGUAAUGGCCUACCAAGCCGAAGACGGGUAGCUGGUCUGAGAGGAUGAUCAGCCACACGUGGAACUGAGACACGGUCCAGACCUCCGUACGGGAGGCAGCGAGGUCGGGGAAUCGUUGGCGACGAAGUGGACGAAACGCCUAGGACGCGAGGCCGACGCCGCG